GUCUGGUCUUGAUUACGGGUGCGUGAGGGAUAGCAGCGAAAAGCCCACAGCCUGACGAAGGAAGUGCGAGGACUUGCAGCGAAUAGCCCGACCCGGA
Molecule: unclassified non-coding RNA, 97 nt
Filed under: Flavobacterium pectinovorum
Lineage: Bacteria; Pseudomonadati; Bacteroidota; Flavobacteriia; Flavobacteriales; Flavobacteriaceae
Description: Flavo-1 RNA
Source: RNAcentral